AGGCACUGUUCUAGGCAUGAGAAUAUAGCCGUGAGCAAAACAGGAGAACCCUCGUCUUCACGAAGCUCACCACUGGCGGGCAACAGAAAACUAACAAGUGGAAGAGGUCGUGUAUACAGUCACUGUUAACUGAGGCGGAGAAGACAGCUGGAGGAACUACUUGGAGGAGAGGGAAGAGAUACCAGGAACUCGGUUUCCAAAGUGCAGAGUUCAACGUGCCAAUCACACAAGACAACCAGGGAUGUCAACUAGGCAGCUGGCCAGACCAGCGUGCAGUCCAGGCAAGACGUCUGGGCUAAGGCAUAACGCUGGGACUCAUCGGAAACACGGGCAUGUAAAGCCAUGAUACCAGCAAAACAGGAAAUACAUUCAUCUCUGAGAGAGGGAAGAAAGAUGUUAAAUGAGAAGGUGGAAAAGAGUCACCUGGAAGACUCAGAGUGACCAGCCCAGGAGGACACGGCAUGACUGUCAGGCGGUAUUCAAGGUCACUGGGGUUGGUGAUUAUGAAUCCACAGUCUACAAUUCCAACGCCACUGCCAGCGCCAUCCUAUGGGAGCCGGCAGCCACAGGCACCUUGGGCUGAAGCCUUCACAAACCUGGUUCACACACUCAUUUCUCGUGUUGACUUCAAGCUCAUCUAA
Long non-coding RNA from Phyllostomus hastatus (greater spear-nosed bat), 641 nucleotides. RefSeq lists it as uncharacterized. NCBI's taxonomy places the organism in Eukaryota, Metazoa, Chordata, Mammalia, Chiroptera, Phyllostomidae. The transcript is spliced from 3 exons. The record is from RefSeq and is a predicted model, not a curated record.